UACAGAGGGGGCAAGCGUUAUUCGGAAUUAUUGGGCGUAAAGGGCGCGUAGGCGGCUUUUCAAGUGACGGGUGAAAUCCCUCGGCUUAACCGAGGAACUGCCUGUCAGACUGGAAGGCUUGAGACCGGGAGAGGUGAGUGGAAUUCCCAGUGUAGCGGUGAAAUGCGUAGAUAUUGGGAGGAACACCAGUGGCGAAGGCGGCUCACUGGACCGGUACUGACGCUGAGGCGCGAAAGCGUGGGUAGCAAACGGG
This 253-nucleotide ribosomal RNA is filed under the name uncultured bacterium. RNAcentral describes it as "partial 16S ribosomal RNA". It matches the Rfam family "Bacterial small subunit ribosomal RNA", at positions 524 to 776 of the family's 1533-position model. The record is from RNAcentral.